Molecule: ribosomal RNA, 254 nt
Filed under: uncultured bacterium
Lineage: Bacteria
Description: partial 16S ribosomal RNA
Rfam family: Bacterial small subunit ribosomal RNA
Source: RNAcentral
UACGUAGGGUGCAAGCGUUAAUCGGAAUUACUGGGCGUAAAGCGUGCGCAGGCGGUUGUGUAAGACAGAUGUGAAAUCUCCGGGCUCAACCCGGAAACUGCAUUGCGAACUGACCUGGCUGGAGUGCAGGAGAGGGCAGCGGAAUUCCCGGUGUAGCGGUGAAAUGCGCAGAUAUCGGGAAGAACACCAGUGGCGAAGGCGGCUGCCUGGCCUGUAACUGACGCUGAGACGCGAAAGCGUGGGGAGCGAACCGG